GUGCCAGCAGCCGCGGUAAUACAGAGGGUGCGAGCGUUAAUCGGAGUUACUGGGCGUAAAGGGCGCGUAGGUGGUGAUAUAAGUCAGAUGUGAAAUACCCGAGCUUAACUUGGGGGAGUCGUCUGAUACUGUAUGACUAGAGUAUUGGAGAGGGAAGUGGAAUUUCCGGUGUAGCGGUGAAAUGCGUAGAUAUCGGAAGGAACACCCGUGGCGAAGGCGACUUCCUGGCCAAAUACUGACACUGAGGCGCGAAAGCGUGGGGAGCAAACAGGAUUAGAUACCCUGGUAGUCC
Molecule: ribosomal RNA, 292 nt
Filed under: uncultured bacterium
Lineage: Bacteria
Description: partial 16S ribosomal RNA
Rfam family: Bacterial small subunit ribosomal RNA
Source: RNAcentral